UACGUAGGGUGCAAGCGUUGUCCGGAAUUAUUGGGCGUAAAGAGCUCGUAGGCGGUUUGUCGCGUCUGCUGUGAAAACCCGAGGCUCAACCUCGGGCCUGCAGUGGGUACGGGCAGACUAGAGUGAGGUAGGGGAGAUUGGAAUUCCUGGUGUAGCGGUGGAAUGCGCAGAUAUCAGGAGGAACACCGAUGGCGAAGGCAGAUCUCUGGGCCGUAACUGACGCUGAGGAGCGAAAGCAUGGGGAGCGAACAGG
This 253-nucleotide ribosomal RNA is filed under the name uncultured bacterium. RNAcentral describes it as "partial 16S ribosomal RNA". It matches the Rfam family "Bacterial small subunit ribosomal RNA", at positions 524 to 776 of the family's 1533-position model. The record is from RNAcentral.